This 264-nucleotide signal recognition particle RNA is filed under the name Clostridia bacterium. Its description in RNAcentral is "signal recognition particle sRNA large type". It matches the Rfam family "Bacterial large signal recognition particle RNA". Rfam says of the family: The signal recognition particle (SRP) is a universally conserved ribonucleoprotein involved in the co-translational targeting of proteins to membranes. The record is from RNAcentral. Lineage: Bacteria; Bacillati; Bacillota; Clostridia.
CUGUGCUAGACGGGGAGCUUGCGGUGCCCUGUAAACUACAAUCCGCAAUAGUAGUGUCGAACGCCAAUCGAGGCUUUUGUUAUGGUUGGUUGCGCAUGGCAAGGAGUGAUGAUAGCAAGGUCCCGUGCAAUGUCAUACUGCGAACCGUGUCAGAGCUUGACCGCAGCAGCACUAAACAGGCGUUGGCGUGUGCCACGGGGAAACUUUGAAGGAGCCACCUACUAUGUUCCCACUUCGGUUUCAAACGUCGGAAUUGGUGCACAG